CUGAACUACAAUAGAUCUGUUUGGAGCAGGUUGUGAGCAGUGGUUUCUGUUGGAGACCGUGAGUCCCUUUGGGGGGGACUUUUGGCUUUUUCACUUUGUAGACCUAU
Long non-coding RNA from Etheostoma spectabile (orangethroat darter), 107 nucleotides. RefSeq lists it as uncharacterized. NCBI's taxonomy places the organism in Eukaryota, Metazoa, Chordata, Actinopteri, Perciformes, Percidae. The record is from RefSeq and is a predicted model, not a curated record. The transcript has 3 exons.